Molecule: long non-coding RNA, 291 nt
Filed under: Marmota monax (woodchuck)
Lineage: Eukaryota; Metazoa; Chordata; Mammalia; Rodentia; Sciuridae
Source: RNAcentral
AGAUGCUUUUUGUUUUACAGAUCUUUUACCUUUACAGUGAACAGCAUACCUGGAGGGCAUAUCUUAGUGAUGGCAAAUAUCAUGCCAGUAACACUUGAGCUAUCGCUUAAGGAAUUAGUAUUGAGACCACAAAGCUUCUUGAUGAAAACAUGUUUUCGGGGAACAGUUAGAUUGUAUAAUCGUCAGAAUCGGUCUGCCCAAUUUGGAUGGCAACCAGUAAACACAAUAAAAGGGAUGGCAUUUUCCAUUCGCCCAGCUACAGGUAAUGGUUUAUUUUGUUUGAUUUAGACA